AUUGAACGCUGGCGGCAGGCCUAACACAUGCCAGUCGAGCGGAUGAAGGGAGCUUGCGCCUGGAUUCAGCGGCGGACGGGUGAGUGAUGCCCAGGAAUCUGCCUGGUAGUGGGGGAUAACGUCCGGAAGCGGGCGCUGAUACCGCAUACGUCCUGAGGGUGAAAGGGGGGGAUCUUCGGACCUCACGCUAUCAGAUGAGCCUAGGGCGGAUUAGCGAGUUGGUGGGGUAAAGGGCUACCAAGGCGACGAUCCGUAACUGGUCUGAGAGGGUGAGCAGUCACACUGGAACUGAGACACGGUCCAGACUCCUACGGGAGGCAGCAGUGGGGAAUAUUGGGCAAUGGGCGAAAGCCUGAUGCAGCAAUGCCGCGUGUGUGAAGAAGGUCUUCGGAUUGUAAAACCCUUUUAGUUGGGAAGAAAGGCAGUAAGUUUAAACCUUGCCGUUUUGACGGUACCCAAAAAAUAAGCCACGGCUAACUUCGUG
Molecule: ribosomal RNA, 484 nt
Filed under: uncultured bacterium
Lineage: Bacteria
Description: partial 16S ribosomal RNA
Rfam family: Bacterial small subunit ribosomal RNA
Source: RNAcentral